GUGCUCGCUUCGGCAGCACAUAUACUAAAACUGGAAUGAUACAGAGAAGAUUAGCAUGGCCCCUGCGCAAGGAUAACACACAAAUCCAUGAUUUUUUUUAUUGUCUA
Molecule: small nuclear RNA, 107 nt
Organism: Octodon degus (degu)
Lineage: Eukaryota; Metazoa; Chordata; Mammalia; Rodentia; Octodontidae
Source: Ensembl